AAUAUUGCACAAUGGGCGCAAGCCUGAUGCAGCCAUGCCGCGUGUAUGAAGAAGGCCUUCGGGUUGUAAAGUACUUUCAGCAGUGAGGAAGGUGGGUAUGUUAAUAGCAUACUCAUUUGACGUUAGCUGCAGAAGAAGCACCGGCUAACUCCGUGCCAGCAGCCGCGGUAAUACGGAGGGUGCGAGCGUUAAUCGGAAUUACUGGGCGUAAAGCGCAUGCAGGUGGUUUGUUAAGUCAGAUGUGAAAGCCCGGGGCUCAACCUCGGAAUUGCAUUUGAAACUGGCAAACUAGAGUACUGUAGAGGGGGUAGAAUUUCAGGUGUAGCGGUGAAAUGCGUAGAGAUCUGAAGGAAUACCGGUGGCGAAGGCGGCCCCCUGGACAGAUACUGACACUCAGAUGCGAAAGCGUGGGGAGCAAACAGGAUUAGAUACCCUGUAG
Molecule: ribosomal RNA, 439 nt
Filed under: uncultured bacterium
Lineage: Bacteria
Description: bacterial SSU rRNA
Rfam family: Bacterial small subunit ribosomal RNA
Source: RNAcentral